CCCUCGAGAUGGGGAUAGCCAGUUAGAAAUAGUGGAUAAUACCGAAUACGCUCAUGACCCUGUGGGGAUAUGAGGAAAACAGGCUACGGCCUGGCUCGAGGUAUGGGCCCGCGUCCCAUUAGCUAGUUGGUGAGGUAACGGCCCACCAAGGGCGACGAUCGGGUAUCCGGCCUGAGAGGGUGUACGAACACAUUGGGACUGAGAUACGGCCCAAACUCCUACGGGAGGCAGCACGCUAAGAAUAUUCCGCAAUGGACGAAAGUCUGACGGAGCGACGGCCCGCGUGGAUGAAAAGAAGGCCGGAAGGUUGUAAAAUCCUUUUGCUGAUGAAGAAUAAGUGUGGUAGGGAAUGACCGCAUGAUGACAUUAGUCGGUGAAUAACGCCCCGGCUAACUACGUGCCAGCCGCCGC
This 411-nucleotide ribosomal RNA is filed under the name uncultured bacterium. RNAcentral describes it as "bacterial SSU rRNA". It matches the Rfam family "Bacterial small subunit ribosomal RNA", at positions 129 to 518 of the family's 1533-position model. The record is from RNAcentral.